This is a long non-coding RNA of Myotis myotis, 142 nucleotides long. RefSeq lists it as uncharacterized. Lineage: Eukaryota; Metazoa; Chordata; Mammalia; Chiroptera; Vespertilionidae. The transcript has 2 exons. The record is from RefSeq and is a predicted model, not a curated record.
GGCGCGGGCGCGAGCUCCUCGGGGCGGCCCUGGCCGCGGCCUCCUGGAGGGUCCCACCCACGCGACCCUCCGGCCUCGCUGCUAACUAUUGCACAGCUGACUGGAGAUGCCCUCAAGUAAUGAAAACUAAAGGUGUUGAAAU